RNAcentral lists this ribosomal RNA (468 nucleotides) under uncultured bacterium. Its description in RNAcentral is "partial 16S ribosomal RNA". It matches the Rfam family "Bacterial small subunit ribosomal RNA", at positions 28 to 507 of the family's 1533-position model. The record is from RNAcentral.
GACGAACGCUGGCGGCGUGCUUAACACAUGCAAGUCGAACGGAAAGGCCCUGCUUUUGUGGGGUGCUCGAGUGGCGAACGGGUGAGUAACACGUGAGUAACCUGCCCUUGACUUUGGGAUAACUUCAGGAAACUGGGGCUAAUACCGGAUAGGAGCUCCUGCUGCAUGGUGGGGGUUGGAAAGUUUCGGCGGUUGGGGAUGGACUCGCGGCUUAUCAGCUUGUUGGUGGGGUAGUGGCUUACCAAGGCUUUGACGGGUAGCCGGCCUGAGAGGGUGACCGGCCACAUUGGGAAUGAGAUACGGCCCAGACUCCUACGGGAGGCAGCAGUGGGGAAUAUUGCACAAUGGGCGGAAGCCUGAGGCAGCAACGCCGCGUGCGGGAUGACGGCCUUCGGGUUGUAAACCGCUUUCGCCUGUGACGAAGCGUGAGUGACGGUAAUGGGUAAAGAAGCACCGGCUAACUACGUG